AGUGGGGCGAAUUAGCGGGACCGCCGCAGUUAAUGCGGAGGAAGGGGGGGGCCACGGCAGGUCAGUAUGCCCCGAAACUCUGGGGCCACGCGCGGGCUGCAAUGGUAGUGACAAUUGGUUCCGAAUCCGAAAGGAGGAGGUAAUCCUCAAACACUACCACAGUUAUGACUGAGGGCUGCAACUCGCCCUCACGAAUAUGGAAUCCCUAGUAACUGCGUGUCAUUAUCGCGCGGUGAAUAC
This 240-nucleotide ribosomal RNA is filed under the name unidentified archaeon. RNAcentral describes it as "16S ribosomal RNA". It matches the Rfam family "Archaeal small subunit ribosomal RNA", at positions 1085 to 1325 of the family's 1478-position model. The record is from RNAcentral.